Ataeniobius toweri is the source of this 86-nucleotide non-coding RNA. The record is from the annotation of a GenBank genome assembly. NCBI's taxonomy places the organism in Eukaryota, Metazoa, Chordata, Actinopteri, Cyprinodontiformes, Goodeidae.
UGCAUGGUGGUACAGUUGGUAGCACUGUGGCCUUGCAGCAAGAAGGUUCGACUGGGUUCAACUCCCGGCCAGGGGUCUUUCUGCAU